UACGGGGAGUGCAAGCGUUGUUCGGAAUUAUUGGGCGUAAAGCGCGUGUAGGCGGCCUGUAAAGUCUGGAGUGAAAGCCCUCGGCUCAACCGAGGAAGAGCUUUGGAUACUGACAGGCUUGAGUUCUGGAGGGGCGAGUGGAAUUCCCAGUGUAGAGGUGAAAUUCGUAGAUAUUGGGAGGAACACCAGUGGCGAAGGCGACUCGCUGGACAGUGACUGACGCUGAGACGCGAAAGCGUGGGGAGCAAACAGG
Molecule: ribosomal RNA, 253 nt
Filed under: uncultured bacterium
Lineage: Bacteria
Description: partial 16S ribosomal RNA
Rfam family: Bacterial small subunit ribosomal RNA
Source: RNAcentral